This 334-nucleotide unclassified non-coding RNA is filed under the name soil metagenome. RNAcentral's name for it is "partial contains 5.8S ribosomal RNA, internal transcribed spacer 2, and large subunit ribosomal RNA". The stretch from base 1 to 120 matches the Rfam family "5.8S ribosomal RNA", at positions 35 to 154 of the family's 154-position model. The record is from RNAcentral.
GAUGAAGAACGUAGUGAAAUGCGAUAAGUAAUGUGAAUUGCAGAAUUCAGUGAAUCAUCGAAUCUUUGAACGCACAUUGCGCCCGCCAGUAUUCUGGCGGGCAUGCCUGUUCGAGCGUCAUUUCAACCAUCAAGCCCCCGGCUUGUGUUGGGGACCUGCGGCUGCCGCAGGCCCUGAAAACCAGUGGCGGGCUCGCUAGUCACUCCGAGCGUAGUAAUACAUCUCGCUCAGGGCGUGCUGCGGGUUCCGGCCGUUAAAAAGCCUUAUUUACCCAAGGUUGACCUCGGAUCAGGUAGGAAGACCCGCUGAACUUAAGCAUAUAAUAAGCGGAGGA